Molecule: ribosomal RNA, 597 nt
Filed under: unidentified microorganism
Description: bacterial SSU rRNA
Rfam family: Bacterial small subunit ribosomal RNA
Source: RNAcentral
ACACAUGCAGUCGAACGAACUCUUCGGAGUUAGUGGCGGACGGGUGAGUAACACGUGGGAACGUGCCUUUUGGUUCGGAAUAACUCAGGGAAACUUGUGCUAAUACCGAAUGUGCCCUUCGGGGGAAAGAUUUAUCGCCAUUAGAGCGGCCCGCGUCUGAUUAGCUAGUUGGUGAGGUAAAGGCUCACCAAGGCGACGAUCAGUAGCUGGUCUGAGAGGAUGAUCAGCCACAUUGGGACUGAGACACGGCCCAAACUCCUACGGGAGGCAGCAGUGGGGAAUCUUGCGCAAUGGGCGAAAGCCUGACGCAGCCAUGCCGCGUGAAUGAUGAAGGUCUUAGGAUUGUAAAAUUCUUUCACCGGGGACGAUAAUGACGGUACCCGGAGAAGAAGCCCCGGCUAACUUCGUGCCAGCAGCCGCGGUAAUACGAAGGGGGCUAGCGUUGCUCGGAAUUACUGGGCGUAAAGGGAGCGUAGGCGGACAUUUAAGUCAGGGGUGAAAUCCCGGGGCUCAACCUCGGAAUUGCCUUUGAUACUGGGUGUCUUGAGUAUGAGAGAGGUAUGUGGAACUCCGAGUGUAGAGGUGAAAUUCGUAGAU